AGCUUUUGACUCUCUUCAGACUCAUUUAUUGAGUUUUGCUUGAUUCUAAGCUCAUUCCGAGUAGUAAAUUUGGUCCAAAUUGACAUAUGAAAAUAACUGUUUUUCAACCUUCAUCAACACCCCAAACUUAGAAUUUUGCUUGUCCUCAAGAAAAACAAAACAAAACAACACACAAAACAAAACUUGGCUUUAUACUGUUUCAUCCAAUGCCUCAACAAUCCCAAGGUACAUGACAAAACCACUAAAUUCAAUAUCCUCAGUGAAAUCCAAAAUAAGAUGCAUGCAUGCUUUCAACCCAGAGAUUGCACAAUAGAUGUUAUACACUAUGAAUAUCAAUCCACUAAGCAAAAAUGUACUCAUGAAAAUUAACAAAUUAUACCAAGCAAGUGUUUCACUCAAUCACUCAAGUGUUUAAGGUGACACUCCAACUCUCAAUUANUCANAAGUNNCAUNAAACANAAUUNNCAUUCAUCUCAAACAAUCAACAUCUUUACAUGCAAAUGCCAUCAAAAGGACUUUUCCAAGGCUUGUAAUGAGGUUGGGCUAACAAGAAAGAAUUGAUUUUUCUAGAAUGCAAAAUCCUUGAGUCAAGAGAGCUAACAAAAUAUUCAACAUUUAAGCACAACUCUCUCACCAAUAUCUCUCAUUCCCAACUUCUUCCCUUUUCUUUUCUUUUUCAUUGAGCUCAUNUUCAUGCUUUUCUUCUUUUCUUUUCUUUUUCUCAUGAAUUUUUCUCUUUUCACAACAAUUGAGCUCAAUGCCUUUUACUUGUUUUUUCAAUUUUCCCCCGUACAACCCCAAACUUGAACCUUUUCAUCGCAUACAAUUAAGCUCAUCCCAACUUAAGGUAAAGAUUUACAAGACAAGGGUUCACAUAUUGUUUAAGGCUAAGGUUCAAAAAGGGUAAAAUAUUUUCAAGCACUUUGGGUGAAAAUUUGGCUAGAGAAGGGUUUUCAAAAAUGGCCUUGAUCAUAUGACAUUCACAUGCAAUUCAAUCG
Molecule: long non-coding RNA, 998 nt
Filed under: Vigna radiata
Lineage: Eukaryota; Viridiplantae; Streptophyta; Magnoliopsida; Fabales; Fabaceae
Description: long non-coding RNA (VRAD_LNC014767)
Source: RNAcentral